GACCGCGUAGCUCAGUUGGCAGAGCAUUGGGCUAGUAUUCCAAAGGUCGUAGGUUCGAUUCCCACCGUGGACC
Non-coding RNA from Paramuricea clavata, 73 nucleotides. The record is from the annotation of a GenBank genome assembly. Lineage: Eukaryota; Metazoa; Cnidaria; Anthozoa; Malacalcyonacea; Plexauridae.